AACGCGCCUAUUCAUUCGCGAAUCAGAAAUCGCUAUUUAAACAAGUCUAGCGUCGCCAUUUUUGACGUGACUGGUUUGAUUUUGGAACGCUUUACGUUGGCAGGAAAUUUUAACAUUUAACGUCUUUCCGUGCGAAUCGAACCCAAGACCUUCACGUUGCUAACGCUGAUUCUACUGUUUAAGCUACAAGUGUUACAGGGGCCCAUCUUGAGCAGUUAUGCCUGACUGCGGCUCUGCUGGAGAAAUCGUAGGGGUCUUUUCAGCUCUCGGAGCUGCCAGAGGAUCAAGCAGGCAGUUCUGAUGUCGGUCCAGUCGCCGCCGGUGUUCACGGGGUCGUGGCAGGCGAUCCCGCGUCCUCGUUUGCAUAGGAGAACGAAUGGAAUGUCGAAACUCUCCAUAGGGCAGUGCAUGACUUAAACCUGGAACUGAACAUCACUCCCAGCAUGAGUCUGGCCCACAGGAGGAAGAAAUAAGACGUGACACCAAUAUAACUGACAAAACAGAUGCACACUCCAUAAUGCACCAGCAGGACACGGAAACCGCCAUUGCUUUUGUUUCCCAAGGCGUUAAGAAAGGCUUUAAAUAACUCAUUUGGACAUAUGGACGACAUCACUGCUUUACUUGGGAUGCUUUAUGCAUAUUCCACAUUGCAUUACACAGGUGCAGCACAAUAAUAAAUAAAGAAAGAAAGCCUCCUCUUGUCACUUACUUUCUCUCUCUUGUUGUUUCUUUAUGUUAGCCAGGCCUGUGUCUCUGCCCACCUGUCUUCAGUGGGCACAGAUUGGGGCAGCAGACGUCCAUGCGGGUAUUUAGAUUUGUGCACAAAGCCUGGUG
Onychostoma macrolepis is the source of this 834-nucleotide long non-coding RNA. RefSeq lists it as uncharacterized. The transcript has 5 exons. Lineage: Eukaryota; Metazoa; Chordata; Actinopteri; Cypriniformes; Cyprinidae. The record is from RefSeq and is a predicted model, not a curated record.